Molecule: long non-coding RNA, 655 nt
Filed under: Olea europaea subsp. europaea
Lineage: Eukaryota; Viridiplantae; Streptophyta; Magnoliopsida; Lamiales; Oleaceae
Source: RNAcentral
UUUCGACUCAAUAUUCGGGAUAACCGCCACACAAAAAAAUUUGCAAUUUGAGUUUCAUUCAGAUCGAACUUUCUACUUUUAGAGUAGAAAGAACAAAAAAAGUCAGGUAUGUGUCCUAUCUUAAUUAAUUUUUUCCCGAUUAGAUUUACUUUGUAGUUUUAUGAUCUUAAUGUUUCUGUUAAUUAUAUGCGCUUCUGUAAAUUGAGACUGAAUUUUUUAAAUUUUUUGUGAUUCUUCUUCCCCCCCCCCCUUCUAGAUAGGUAAAGCGAUGGAUUCUAUUUUUAGAUGUUACAUGAGAUUGUAAUUUGAAAGGAUUUUAAUUCAAAGUCAUUUUAUUUUCAGAUCGUGGACAGUUUUUUGAAAAUUCGUUGACUGGAUCUCGAUGUCUUCAAUGUGAUACGUGACUGAGAAUAGCAUUUAGUGCUCUGGAUUCCGAUCAAUUAUUGCUGGUUUUCUUGUAGAGGUUCAGAUUUUUGAAGUCUGUGUUGUAAAAGUUCAAUGGCAAGGAUCAAACCUCAAACUCUGUUACAACAAAGCAAGAAGAAGAAGGGACCAAGUCGCAUCAGUGUUGCUACCACUGCAAUUUAUGGCAUCGUAGUCGUUGGAAUGGUGCUUUUCAUUUUCGCCACCUGCAGAUACUGGUCUAGAAGGUUUG